Dendrothele bispora CBS 962.96 is the source of this 99-nucleotide non-coding RNA. The record is from the annotation of a GenBank genome assembly. NCBI's taxonomy places the organism in Eukaryota, Fungi, Basidiomycota, Agaricomycetes, Agaricales.
GCCCCCGUUGUCUAAUGGUUAUGACGUCAGACUUCUAUGUUAAAUAAUCCAACAGGCGUGAAAAUCUGGAGGUUGCGGGUUCGAGUCCCGCCGGGGGUU